GCAUUAGACACUGUACGUGGACAGCAGUUUUCUCACCGCCUCCGAGUGAAGCAGCUUUUAAAGGUCCUUAGCAAAGAGUUCCCUUCAAAGACUACAUCUGUCAAAGAGAAAAAAAAAGGAAGAAUCAAGAAGAGGGUCUGGGGAUUUAGCUCAGUGGCAUAAGCACCUGUCUUGCAAGCGCAUGGUCAUGAGUUUGAUCCCCGGUACCGAUAAAAAAAAAAAAAAUCAAGAAGCAAACAAACAAACAACAACAAUAGGAAAAUGACAACAACCACAACAAAAACAAUAGCAGAAGAUUUCUGCUUGCUUAUGUUAAACAGUUUUUUGAUAAAAUCCAUAGAUACUUAAAAUUACAUCAAAGUUGCACUCAUCUUUAAAGAGGUACAGUGUUAAAUUCUAAAUACUCAGUAUUAAAUUCUAAAAUAAUCAAAAA
This is a long non-coding RNA of Cavia porcellus (domestic guinea pig), 433 nucleotides long. RefSeq lists it as uncharacterized. Lineage: Eukaryota; Metazoa; Chordata; Mammalia; Rodentia; Caviidae. The record is from RefSeq and is a predicted model, not a curated record. The transcript has 2 exons.